AUGCACGCUGGCGGCGUGCUUCACACAUGCAAGUCGCACGAAGCACUUUAUUUGAUUUCCUUCGGGACUGAUUAUUUUGUGACUGAGUGGCGGACGGGUGAGUAACGCGUGGGUAACCUGCCUUGUACAGGGGGAUAACAGUUGGAAACGGCUGCUAAUACCGCAUAAGCGCACAGCAUCGCAUGAUGCAGUGUGAAAAACUCCGGUGGUAUAAGAUGGACCCGCGUUGGAUUAGCUAGUUGGUGAGGUAACGGCCCACCAAGGCGACGAUCCAUAGCCGACCUGAGAGGGUGACCGGCCACAUUGGGACUGAGACACGGCCCAAACUCCUACGGGAGGCAGCAGUGGGGAAUAUUGCACAAUGGGCGAAAGCCUGAUGCAGCGACGCCGCGUGAGCGAAGAAGUAUUUCGGUAUGUAAAGCUCUAUCAGCAGGGAAGAUAAUGACGGUACCUGACUAAGAAGCACCGGCUAAAUACGUG
Molecule: ribosomal RNA, 480 nt
Filed under: uncultured bacterium
Lineage: Bacteria
Description: partial 16S ribosomal RNA
Rfam family: Bacterial small subunit ribosomal RNA
Source: RNAcentral